This 392-nucleotide unclassified non-coding RNA is filed under the name soil metagenome. RNAcentral's name for it is "partial contains 5.8S ribosomal RNA, internal transcribed spacer 2, and large subunit ribosomal RNA". The stretch from base 1 to 122 matches the Rfam family "5.8S ribosomal RNA", at positions 35 to 154 of the family's 154-position model. The record is from RNAcentral.
GAUGAAGAACGUAGCGAAAUGCGAUACUUGGUGUGAAUUGCAGAAUCCCGUGAACCAUCGAGUCUUUGAACGCAAGUUGCGCCCGAAGCCACUAGGCCGAGGGCACGCCUGCCUGGGCGUCACACGUCGUUGCCCCCCCCCAUCUACUCCUUCGGGAUUGCGGGGGGCGGAUGAUGGCCUCCCGUGCGCCUAGCCGCGCGGUUGGCAUAAAUACCAAGUCCUCGGCGACGCACGCCACGACAAUCGGUGGUUGCGAAACCUCGGUUGCCCGUCGUGUGCGUUCGUCGCGCAUCGAGGGCUCGAAAAAAUGCUCGGCUCCGGCUGGGCUUUCAACGCGACCCCAGGUCAGGCGGGGUUACCCGCUGAAUUUAAGCAUAUCAAUAAGCGGAGGA